RNAcentral lists this ribosomal RNA (899 nucleotides) under uncultured marine bacterium. RNAcentral's name for it is "bacterial SSU rRNA". It matches the Rfam family "Bacterial small subunit ribosomal RNA", at positions 8 to 916 of the family's 1533-position model. The record is from RNAcentral.
AGAGUUUGAUCCUGGCUCAGGACGAACGCUGGCGGCGUGCUUAACACAUGCAAGUCGAACGAUGAAGCUGGAGCUUGCUCCAGUGGAUUAGUGGCGAACGGGUGAGUAACACGUGAGAAAUCUGCCCCUGACUCUGGGAUAACUGCGGGAAACUGUAGCUAAUACCGGAUACUUUCCCCGGUGGGCAUCCACUGGGGAAGAAAGAAUUUCGGUCAGGGAGGAUCUCGCGGCCUAUCAGCUUGUUGGUGAGGUAACGGCUCACCAAGGCGACGACGGGUAACCGGCCUGAGAGGGUGACCGGUCACACUGGGACUGAGACACGGCCCAGACUCCUACGGGAGGCAGCAGUGGGGAAUAUUGCACAAUGGGCGCAAGCCUGAUGCAGCAACGCCGCGUGAGGGAUGACGGCCUUCGGGUUGUAAACCUCUUUUAGCAGGGAAGAAGCGAAAGUGACGGUACCUGCAGAAAAAGCACCGGCUAACUACGUGCCAGCAGCCGCGGUAAUACGUAGGGUGCAAGCGUUGUCCGGAAUUAUUGGGCGUAAAGAGCUCGUAGGCGGUUUGUCACGUCUGCUGUGAAAAUCCAAGGCUCAACCUUGGACUUGCAGUGGGUACGGGCAGGCUAGAGUGCGGUAGGGGAGAUGGGAAUUCCUGGUGUAGCGGUGGAAUGCGCAGAUAUCAGGAGGAACACCAAUGGCGAAAGGCACAUCUCUGGGCCGUAACUGACGCUGAGGAGCGAAAGCGUGGGGAGCGAACAGGAUUAGAUACCCUGGUAGUCCACGCCGUAAACGGUGGGUGCUAGCUGUGGGCCACAUUCCACGUGGUCCGUGACGAAGUUAACACAUUAAGCACCCCGCCUGGGGGAGUACGGCCGCAAGGCUAAACUCAAGGAAUUGACGG